CCCAUGCGCACGCAUGGAUGGCAGAAAAGUAAGGUGACGCGUGCGCGUCAACCACGCAUAUGCGUGAGUGCGUUUUGUGCUCCUCGCACAAAACCAGCACAAUUCCAGUGCAACUCUUUAGAUUUCCUACUGGGCAUUUGCAUCAGUGCAACGACGCGUGCGCGUCGGUUAGGUGCUCGCGUGGGUGAGUAAAAAUCGAGACUGACGCGUGCGCAUCGGCCACGCGUGUGCGUGGAAGCAUGAUUCUCCAAAAUUUUUACUAAGUUAAAAAGCUGCAGAAUUACAUUUUCAAACCCCAAACUUCUAACACACAUAACUUCUUCUAAAAAAUUCCUUUUUCAACCAUUUCUGAACCGUUGGAAAGAUCGUUGAAUAAACUUUCAUAAAAAUCCAAUUUUGAAAAAUUUUAAACCCUGUGGACCGAAUUACGGACCGCCAAAGUUGGUCAAAAAUAAGUUUUUACCCAAAAAUAGAAAUCACCAAUUUUUCCAAUGUUCACAAGCCAAAUUUAUUUUCACUCAUCCAAAUGACCACAACCGAACCACAUUCACAUAUUACACUCAACCAAAACCAAACAUACCCCAUCUACACAAUAUCACCCAAAACUAUCAAAUUCCACACCUCAAUUCCUCAAACCUUAUUAUUCAAUAACCAACCAAUUAUUUACACAUUCAAUAUCUAAAAUCUAUCCAAUCUCUUAUAUCAUCACAUAAUACACACAUCAACUUACCCUCCUUACCUCUUCCAGCCUCCAGCCCAAGAUUCACGGCCUCCGGCCCAAAUUCACAAUUUAAAUGCAUAUUCCACAAACCAAUAUUGAUUAUCCAAUUCAUCAAAUUUUCAACACACCAAACAUACAAAUUCACACAAUUCUCAAUCCAAUCAUUAAUUCACAUUACAUAUCAACUAUGCAUAUUAGUACCAACCAUUUUCACAAUCCAAACUUAUCCUAAGGGCAUCUAGCCUAGGAAUUCUCAUCACACCACACGAUACUUAAAUUAAACUUAAACCGUACCUCUUAUAGCCAAAAUAAUUGAGCUUCUUCUUGAGAGUCUCCACCAACCCUUAGCUCUAAGCCUCACCAAGGCUCCACAAGCAACACCAACCUCCCAAUUGUGCACCAAAAUUACCAAAUACACUAACAUAACCAAUUUCACAUAUAUACAUCAACUUAGGGUUCAUAAAAAUGAUAAAUCACAAAAUUUAGAGGGUUCCUUACCUUAACCCAUAAAAUUUUGUGAUGAAUAUCACUAAUGGCUCAUACUAGAGCACUCCUAAACAACCAAAAUCACAAGAUUUCCUCAAAACCCAAACCAAAUUCGAAGUAUAAGAGGAAUAUCAAAACUGGGCAGAGGAGAGUUAGAUACUCACCACAAAACUUAGAAAGACUCGAAGAGGAGGAGAAAAGCAACGCGUGGCCGCAAAUGGCUCGUCAAUCAAAGUUCCAGAGAGAAAGUUAUAACGAUUUGAAGAUCAAAGAGAGUUAGGGUUUCUCUCUUCUCAUCUCUCUUUUUUCAUUUCAGCAGCAAAAACCACACUAAAUGAGGGUUGUGGUAGCUGAAUGGCUUUAAGUUAAGGCUUAUAUAUGCUGGGCUUGGAUCCACUUGGGCCCAAUUCACUUGGUUUAGUCCGUUGGCCCAACUUUGGGCCAAAACCUUUAAGAUUAACGCUUUAAAUCGCAUUUUAAAUAUUUCUAUCUUCCCUAAUUAUAAAUCCUAAUUUCUUAACCUUAUUUAUUUAUAAUAAGUUUUCUCAGCUGUAGUACCAGACAGAUCUCAGCCGUACUACCGGUCAAAGUUCCAGUGCACGUUUUUACGCAGAAAACUAUGUUUUCCGACUCUGAAAAAUUCACUGAAUCCAAAUAUCACAUUUAAAUUAUCAAAUUUCGAUUGCAAAUUUCUACCCAUAUUCGCUCCUAUUACAUUAAUAUACAUUUAAAUACAUUAAAUAUUCUAAACUAAAUAUUAAAUAUAAUAAUAUAUAAAUAAGAUUAUUUAGUAAGAUAAAUAUGAAAUAUAAAAAUAAAACAUGGAAAUAAUAUAUGUAUAUAUAUAUAUAUAUAUAUAUAUAUAUAUAUAUAAUAUAUAUAUAUAUAUAAAAGAUAUAAAAAAUAUAAAUAAUUAAUAAGAACUAAAAAAAAAGAGUGUUUUUUAAAUUAAGAACGCCCUGUGAGCCAAGGGACAGUCUCAGGUAGACAGUUUCUAUGGGGCGUAGGCCUCCUAAAAGGUAAUGGAGGCGUGCAAAGGUUUCCUCGGGCCAGACGGAGAUUGGCCCUCAAGUGCAAAGGCAGAAGGGAGCUUGACUGCAAGACUCACCCGUUGAGUAGGGACGAAAGUCGGCCUUAGUGAUCCGACGGUGCCGAGUGGAAGGGUCGUCGCUCAACGGAUAAAAGUUACUCUAGGGAUAACAGGCUGAUCUUCCCCAAGAGCUCACAUCGACGGGAAGGUUUGGCACCUCGAUGUCGGCUCUUCGCCACCUGGGGCUGUAGUAUGUUCCAAGGGUUGGGCUGUUCGCCCAUUAAAGCGGUACGUGAGUUGGGUUCAGAACGUUGUGAGACAGUUCAGUCCAUAUCCGGUGUGGGCGUUAGAGCAUUGAGAGGACCUUUCCCUAGUACGAGAGGACCGGGAAGGACGCACCUCUGGUGUGCCAGUUAUCGUGCCCACGGUAAAUGUUGGGUGGCCAAGUGCGGAGCGGAUAACUGCUGAAAGCAUCUAAGUAGUAAGCCCACCCCAAGAUAAGUGCUCUCCUAUUCCGACUUUCCCAGAGCCUCCGGUAGCACAGCCGAAACAGCGAUGAGUUCUCUGCAUAUAUAUAUAUAAUUAUAUAAUAUUUCUUCUUAGGCUAAAUUAAUCAAUUUAUCCCUCUUUAUCAUAACAUGUCAACUAUCAAGAUU
This 2893-nucleotide ribosomal RNA is filed under the name Arachis monticola. RNAcentral's name for it is "bacterial LSU rRNA". The stretch from base 2054 to 2817 matches the Rfam family "Bacterial large subunit ribosomal RNA". Lineage: Eukaryota; Viridiplantae; Streptophyta; Magnoliopsida; Fabales; Fabaceae. The record is from RNAcentral.